AUGAAUGGAUACUCUGAGAUAGAACGAGAAAAAGCAAAUUUGAUUAAUGCUACUUCUAUUAGUUUGGCAAUGAAUCAGGUCCGACAGCGGGUUUUCCAACAGGCCGUACAAGGAGCUCUAGGAACUCUGAAUAGUUGUUUGAAUACCGAGUUACAUUUCCGUACGAUUCGUGCUAAUAUUGGCAUUCUCGGGUCCCUGGAAUGGAAGAGAUAAUUAAAUUAAUUAGGCCUUGAACUUCUACUUUCGUUUAGAAUUUAGGCAUUAUUUUUCCCCUUGCUUCCGAAAAAAGAGUCA
Molecule: ribosomal RNA, 294 nt
Filed under: Triticum aestivum (bread wheat)
Lineage: Eukaryota; Viridiplantae; Streptophyta; Magnoliopsida; Poales; Poaceae
Description: partial small subunit ribosomal RNA
Source: RNAcentral